This 253-nucleotide ribosomal RNA is filed under the name uncultured bacterium. RNAcentral's name for it is "partial 16S ribosomal RNA". It matches the Rfam family "Bacterial small subunit ribosomal RNA", at positions 524 to 776 of the family's 1533-position model. The record is from RNAcentral.
UACGUAGGGUGCGAGCGUUGUCCGGAAUUAUUGGGCGUAAAGGGCUCGUAGGCGGUCUGUCACGUCGAAAGUGAAAACUCAGGGCUUAACCCUGAGCCUGCUUCCGAUACGGGCAGACUAGAGGUAUGCAGGGGAGAACGGAAUUCCUGGUGUAGCGGUGAAAUGCGCAGAUAUCAGGAGGAACACCGGUGGCGAAGGCGGUUCUCUGGACAGAGUCUGACGCUGAGGCACGAAAGCUAGGGGAGCAAACAGG